GGUCGGGACCUGCAAGGGUCUUGCUGUGAACUCCGCCAGGUCCGGGAGGAAGCAACGGUAACAGUGAGGUCUUGUGCGGGGCCCGGCCCUC
Molecule: signal recognition particle RNA, 91 nt
Filed under: Deltaproteobacteria bacterium
Lineage: Bacteria; Pseudomonadati; Myxococcota; Myxococcia
Also listed under: 1 other name
Description: signal recognition particle sRNA small type
Rfam family: Bacterial small signal recognition particle RNA
About the family: The signal recognition particle (SRP) is a universally conserved ribonucleoprotein involved in the co-translational targeting of proteins to membranes. Archaeal SRP consists of a 7S RNA and homologues of the eukaryotic SRP19 and SRP54 proteins.
Source: RNAcentral